CAAGUGCGUAGGCUGAGGAGUUAGGUAAAUCCGGCUCUUCUUAAGGCUGAGACACGACGUCGAGCUACUACGGUAGUGAAGUCAUUGAUGCCAUGCUUCCAGGAAAAGCCUCUAAGCUUCAGAUUGUAAGGAAUCGUACCCCAAACCGACACAGGUGGUCGGGUAGAGAAUACCAAGGCGCUUGAGAGAACUCGGGUGAAGGAACUAGGCAAAAUGGUACCGUAACUUCGGGAGAAGGUACGCUCUCGACGGUGAAGUCCCUUGCGGAUGGAGCUAUUGAGAG
RNAcentral lists this ribosomal RNA (283 nucleotides) under Vibrio sp. D406a. RNAcentral describes it as "partial 23S ribosomal RNA". It matches the Rfam family "Bacterial large subunit ribosomal RNA", at positions 1513 to 1791 of the family's 2925-position model. The record is from RNAcentral. Lineage: Bacteria; Pseudomonadati; Pseudomonadota; Gammaproteobacteria; Vibrionales; Vibrionaceae.